GUCCAGGUACGGGGACAUGGUGCCGGGUACUAUCGCCGGAAAGAUUGUCGGAGGCGUGUGUUCGCUGAGCGGGGUUCUUGUCAUCGCAUUGCCAGUGCCUGUCAUCGUCUCCAAC
Molecule: non-coding RNA, 115 nt
Organism: Zootermopsis nevadensis
Lineage: Eukaryota; Metazoa; Arthropoda; Insecta; Blattodea; Termopsidae
Source: Rfam